GACGAACGCUGGCGGCGUGCUUAACACAUGCAAGUCGAACGGAAAGGCCCUGCUUUUGUGGGGUGCUCGAGUGGCGAACGGGUGAGUAACACGUGAGUAACCUGCCCUUGACUUUGGGAUAACUUCAGGAAACUGGGGCUAAUACCGGAUAGGAGCUCCUGCUGCAUGGUGGGGGUUGGAAAGUUUCGGCGUUGGGGAUGGACUCGCGGCUUAUCAGCUUGUUGGUGGGGUAGUGGCUUACCAAGGCUUUGACGGGUAGCCGGCCUGAGAGGGUGACCGGCCACAUUGGGACUGAGAUACGGCCCAGACUCCUACGGGAGGCAGCAGUGGGGAAUAUUGCACAAUGGGCGGAAGCCUGAUGCAGCAACGCCGCGUGCGGGAUGACGGCCUUCGGGUUGUAAACCGCUUUCGCCUGUGACGAAGCGUGAGUGACGGUAAUGGGUAAAGAAGCACCGGCUAACUACGUG
RNAcentral lists this ribosomal RNA (467 nucleotides) under uncultured bacterium. RNAcentral's name for it is "partial 16S ribosomal RNA". It matches the Rfam family "Bacterial small subunit ribosomal RNA", at positions 28 to 507 of the family's 1533-position model. The record is from RNAcentral.